This 366-nucleotide ribosomal RNA is filed under the name uncultured beta proteobacterium. RNAcentral describes it as "bacterial SSU rRNA". It matches the Rfam family "Bacterial small subunit ribosomal RNA", at positions 683 to 1047 of the family's 1533-position model. Lineage: Bacteria; Pseudomonadati; Pseudomonadota; Betaproteobacteria. The record is from RNAcentral.
GAAAUGCGUAGAGAUGCGGAGGAACACCGAUGGCGAAGGCAGCCCCCUGGGCUAACACUGACGCUCAGGCACGAAAGCGUGGGGAGCAAACAGGAUUAGAUACCCUGGUAGUCCACGCCCUAAACCAUGUCAACUGGGUGUUCGGGAAGCGAUUUCUGAGUACCGUAGCUAACGCGUGAAGUUGACCGCCUGGGGAGUACGGCCGCAAGGUUAAAACUCAAAGGAAUUGACGGGGACCCGCACAAGCGGUGGAUGAUGUGGAUUAAUUCGAUGCAACGCGAACAACCUUACCUACCCUUGACAUGUCUGGAAGGCCCCUGAGAGGGGGUUGUGCCCGAAAGGGAACCGGAACACAGGUGCUGCAUG